This 754-nucleotide long non-coding RNA is filed under the name Physcomitrium patens. Its description in RNAcentral is "long non-coding RNA (PPAT_LNC004952)". The record is from RNAcentral. Lineage: Eukaryota; Viridiplantae; Streptophyta; Bryopsida; Funariales; Funariaceae.
GAGAUAUUGGUUCUAAAAUAUUAACAUCAAGAUUGGAGAAGGAGGCGAGCCAAUAUCCUAGCACAUUUUUGAAGUUAUCAUCAAUUUGGUAACUCCGAUAUUUUUAAUUUAUUUAUGCUUAUUUUUAACUUAUUUUUUAAGAAGUGUAUAAAAUUUGAGUUAAGCUCAAUAGUUUAUUCAUUAGUUAUUGAGGUUUAAAUCUAUUGAAGGAAUUACUAGGGUUUAGUUUAGGACUUUGUUAGGAUUUGGUUUAGGACUUAGGAUUUGGAUUAGGAUUUGGUUAGGAUUUAGAUUAGGAUUUGGUUUAGGAUUUAGUAUUUGGAUUAAAAUUUAUUUUAGGAUUUAGAAUUUAGAUUAGGAUUUGGAUUAGGAUUUAGUUUAGACUUUAGUAUUUGGAUUAGGAUUUGGUUAGGAUUUGAUUUAGAGUUAAGGGUUUAGUUUAGAAUUUAGUAUUUGAAUUAGGAUUUGGUUAGGAUUUGAUUUAGAGUUAAGGAUUUGGAUUACGGUUUGCUUUAGGAUUUAGUUUAGGAUUUAAAGUUUGAUUUAGGAUUUAGGAUUUUAUUAGGAUUUAAGAAUUAAUUAGUUUUGGUCUAAAAUUUGAAUGAAGUUCAAUAGGAUUUUAACUAGAUUUAAAUUAAGAUUGAAUUGAUAUAUAUUUGAGUGAUAUUUAUGAAUAAUCUAAUAUUCCUUUAAGAAUUUUUAUUAUUUGUUUGAAAUUUCUUUGAGGUUUUUUUGAAUUUGAUUAAGCUUACUU